GACGAACGCUGGCGGCGUGCUUAACGCAUGCCAGUCGAACGGAAAGGCCCUGCUUGCAGGGUACUCGAGUGGCGAACGGGUGAGUAACACGUGGGUGAUCUGCCCUGCACUUCGGGAUAAGCCUGGGAAACUGGGUCUAAUACCGGAUAGGAGCCAUUUUUAGUGUGAUGGUUGGAAAGUUUUUUCGGUGUAGGAUGAGCUCGCGGCCUAUCAGCUUGUUGGUGGGGUAAUGGCCUACCAAGGCGGCGACGGGUAGCCGGCCUGAGAGGGUGGACGGCCACAGUGGGACUGAGAUACGGCCCAGACUCCUACGGGAGGCAGCAGUGGGGAAUAUUGCACAAUGGGCGCAAGCCUGAUGCAGCGACGCCGCGUGGGGGAGGACGGCCUUCGGGUUGUAAACUCCUUUCGCUAGGGACGAAGCUUUUUGUGACGGUACCUAGAUAAGAAGCACCGGCUAACUACGUG
Molecule: ribosomal RNA, 465 nt
Filed under: uncultured bacterium
Lineage: Bacteria
Description: partial 16S ribosomal RNA
Rfam family: Bacterial small subunit ribosomal RNA
Source: RNAcentral